GACGAACGCUGGCGGCGUGCUUAACACAUGCAAGUCGAGCGGUAAGGCCCUUUCGGGGGUACACGAGCGGCGAACGGGUGAGUAACACGUGGGUGACCUGCCCUCAGCUCUGGGAUAAGCCUGGGAAACCGGGUCUAAUACUGGAUAUGACUCCAUGACGCAUGUUGUGGGGUGGAAAGCCUUGUGCGGCUGAGGAUGGGCCCGCGGCCUAUCAGCUUGUUGGUGGGGUGANGGCCUACCAAGGCGACGACGGGUAGCCGGCCUGAGAGGGCGACCGGCCACACU
RNAcentral lists this ribosomal RNA (285 nucleotides) under uncultured bacterium. Its description in RNAcentral is "partial 16S ribosomal RNA". It matches the Rfam family "Bacterial small subunit ribosomal RNA", at positions 28 to 314 of the family's 1533-position model. The record is from RNAcentral.